AUGGGCAUGCGGCGCAUUAGCUAGUCGGCGGGGUAACGGCCCACCGAGGCGACGAUGCGUAGGGGUUCUGAGAGGAAGGCCCCCCACACUGGUACUGAGACACGGACCAGACUCCUACGGGAGGCAGCAGUGAGGAAUAUUGGUCAAUGGGCGCGAGCCUGAACCAGCCAAGUCGCGUGAGGGAGGACGGCCCUACGGGUUGUAAACCUCUUUUGCCGGGGAGCAACGGGCGUCACGUGUGGCGCCACUGAGAGUACCCGGAGAAAAAGCAUCGGCUAACUCCGUGCCAGCAGCCGCGGUAAUACGGAGGAUGCGAGCGUUAUCCGGAUUUAUUGGGUUUAAAGGGUGCGUAGGCGGAUCGUUAAGUCAGUGGUCAAAUUGAGGGGCUCAACCCCUUCCCGCCAUUGAAACUGGCGAUCUUGAGUGGAAGAGAAGUAUGCGGAAUGCGUGGUGUAGCGGUGAAAUGCAUAGAUAUCACGCAGAACCCCGAUUGCGAAGGCAGCAUGCCGGCUUCCGACUGACGCUGAAGCACGAAAGCGUGGGGAUCGAACAGGAUUAGAUACCCUGGUAGUCCACGCGGUAAACGAUGAGCGCUAGGUGUCCGGGGGGAAUGGCCCCUGG
This 621-nucleotide ribosomal RNA is filed under the name uncultured bacterium. Its description in RNAcentral is "bacterial SSU rRNA". It matches the Rfam family "Bacterial small subunit ribosomal RNA", at positions 225 to 842 of the family's 1533-position model. The record is from RNAcentral.